AGCGAACGCUGGCGGCGUGCCUAACACAUGCAAGUCGAACGUGAAAGGGAGCAAUCCCAAGUAAAGUGGCGUACGGGUGAGUAACACGUAGGUAAUCUACCCCAGAAUCUGGAAUAACCGGCCGAAAGGCUGGCUAAUACUGGAUAGAGCGACGGAAUCCGUAAUUGGGUUUUUCGGGAAAGGGAGCCUGUAAAAAGGCCUUCGUUCUGGGAUGAGCCUGCGUCCCAUCAGCUAGUUGGUGAGGUAAAAGCUUACCAAGGCAAUGACGGGUAGCUGGUCGGAGAGGACGAUCAGCCACACUGGAACGGAAACACGGUCCAGACUCCUACGGGAGGCAGCAGUGGGGAAUCUUGCGCAAUGGACGAAAGUCUGACGCAGCAACGCCGCGUGAGGGAAGAAGGCCUUCGGGUUGUAAAGCUCUGUCGAGUGGGACGAAAAUGCUUGGAGUUCACAGCUCCAGGAACUGACGGUACCACUAAAGGAAGCACCGGCUAACUCCGUG
Molecule: ribosomal RNA, 502 nt
Filed under: uncultured bacterium
Lineage: Bacteria
Description: partial 16S ribosomal RNA
Rfam family: Bacterial small subunit ribosomal RNA
Source: RNAcentral